Molecule: unclassified non-coding RNA, 337 nt
Filed under: soil metagenome
Description: partial contains 5.8S ribosomal RNA, internal transcribed spacer 2, and large subunit ribosomal RNA
Rfam family: 5.8S ribosomal RNA (bases 1-120)
Source: RNAcentral
GAUGAAGAACGUAGCGAAAUGCGAUAAGUAGUGUGAAUUGCAGAAUUCAGUGAAUCAUCGAAUCUUUGAACGCACAUUGCGCCCCAUGGUAUUCCGUGGGGCAUGCCUGUUCGAGCGUCAUUUACCCCCUCAAGCUCUGCUUGGUGUUGGGCGUCUGUCCCGCUUCGUGCGCGGACUCGCCCCAAAGAUAUUGGCAGCGGUCGUGCCAGCUUCUCGCGCAGCACAUUGCGCUUCUCGAGGCACCGGCGGGCCCGCGUCCAUCUAGCUCACCCCCCCAGUUUGACCUCGGAUCAGGUAGGGAUACCCGCUGAACUUAAGCAUAUCAAUAAGCGGAGGA